Molecule: ribosomal RNA, 468 nt
Filed under: uncultured bacterium
Lineage: Bacteria
Description: partial 16S ribosomal RNA
Rfam family: Bacterial small subunit ribosomal RNA
Source: RNAcentral
GACGAACGCUGGCGGCGUGCUUAACACAUGCAAGUCGAACGGAAAGGCCCUGCUUUUGUGGGGUGCUCGAGUGGCGAACGGGUGAGUAACACGUGAGUAACCUGCCCUUGACUUUGGGAUAACUUCAGGAAACUGGGGCUCAUACCGGAUAGGAGCUCCUGCUGCAUGGUGGGGGUUGGAAAGUUUCGGCGGUUGGGGAUGGACUCGCGGCUUAUCAGUUUGUUGGUGGGGUAGUGGCUUACCAAGGCUUUGACGGGUAGCCGGCCUGAGAGGGUGACCGGCCACAUAGGGACUGAGAUAGAGGCCAGACUCCUACGGGAGGCAGCAGUGGGGAAUAUUGCACGAUGGGCGGAAUCCUGAUGCAGCAACGCCGCGUGCGGGAUGACGGCCUUCGGGUUGUAAACCGCUUUCGCCUGUGACGAAGCGUGAGUGACGGUAAUGGGUAAAGAAGCACCGGCUAACUACGUG